This is a non-coding RNA of Rattus norvegicus (Norway rat), 7104 nucleotides long. NCBI's taxonomy places the organism in Eukaryota, Metazoa, Chordata, Mammalia, Rodentia, Muridae. The record is from RefSeq and is a predicted model, not a curated record.
UGCUCCGCCCCACAGUUACCUGGCAACAGCCAGCUGUGCCUGAUGCUAUAGAAGGGACUGCUUGCCCCCUCCUCUUUCUCUUGCUCUUUGCUCUUCUCUGCCCUCUUGCCCUCUUCCUCUUUGUCCCUUCUCUUCCUAUCCCCCCACUUCUUCCCUCCCUGUGCUUAUGGCCGGCCUUUACUUCUCCCCAUUUCUACUCUUCUCUCAUUAAACCGCUCCCCGUGGAGCCAUGUUGGUUUGCUGUGUUCUGUCUGGACGGGAGCCGAGAUUUAAACCCCAACAGGGAGCAUAUCAAACAGAAAACAGCCGACCGCAGGAAGUAGAUCCUAGCCUCCAGGAAGCCGAAUCAGCAAAAGGUAUCAGAACCCAUUGGCAGUCCUCUUCCCUCCUGUACUCGCCCCGUGGUCUUAGCUGUUUGCUGCCUUAGGCCAGCUCUGAUCGUUUUACUCGCGGGAGCUGCCACUACUUGACCUGAAUUGAUGGAAGCCGAUCAGCUUUGGCCACCUUUGGGUCAGAUGUGUGCCCCAGACCAGUUACCUAUGACAAAGGACACAGAGAUGCUUGAUGACACAUGGGACCUAGCUCUUCAAAACCUAGAGAGAGAUAACGGAUGGGCAGAAAGGAGGGGCUUACUGGGAGAAAUGAUUGGGAUGUCUGACCACAUUCAUUGUAUGAUCCUCCUUUUAGACUGAAAUGCUGAAAGACAUUAAGCCCAGAUCACUGGUCCAGAGAUGAUAGGCAUGCAGUCUGUCCAGCCCCCUUAACUAAUGGCUACUCCCUGGCCUCUCCCCAGACAAAACCCCUUCGGGCUCCUGCAUAUCACCCCUUAAGCUCUAUUUGAAGGUUGGAAAUGAGGUUGAGGCAUCUGUUGUCCCCACAGUCCCAUUGCAUCGGAGACUCGAAGCAAUUGGGGUGCUUUCAACCAGAAAAAUAUAAUUUAAGGGCUUGGCAUCUGGCUGGGAGCUGAGAGAUAUGUUGUCAUGGAAAUGCCUCGCUUCAUUUAACAGCAGCAUAUUCCUACAGUUGGUCACAUCCACCCUGUCAGCAGACCCCUGUGUAGCAUGCAUACACCUCUGGCAGAAACACGUCCGCAGGAUGCAGAGUCCGUUCCCAGCACCCUCCUCCCUGUCACAGAUACCCAGACUCCAGCACCCUCCUCCCCGUCAUAGAUACCCGGACUCCUCACCCUUUCCUGAAGUCACCUCCAUGCAGCAUAGAGCACUCUAGGGACAGUAGAGGGGCACAUGACUGCAAAUUCUCCUCACUAAUCUUAUGCCACACAGAAGGCCACUGCAUCCAUACGCUUUUCUGGUGGUCCCAGAACACAGCUGUAUUACCGACCUCAUAAAUCUACUGUGUGUGUGUCUUCAACUCUUUAUUAAAGCCCAGAAGACAACAUUCAGGGAGAGAAGUAUAGUAGUCACCACACCCAAAUGUUUCUCUAUUUGCUUAAGAGAACAAGGGUUAAUUUCUCUGGGCAGUCCAGAGGACCGAAGUUCCACAAUUACCCAGAAGGCCUUAGGUGUCUCAAGCCAUGCAGUAGACAUUCAUUAAUAAAGAAGAGGUGAGUAAAUGAGGCUCAGCUGUACAAGUCUGUCAUCUGAGGAAGCUCAAAGAGCUAAGUAAGCCAUGUCUGUUCACAUGAAUAUAUUUCAGCAUGAAAUUUACAUGCAUGUAAACAUGAUGCAUAUGAAGGAGCCUGAAACACGUGGAAUUAAUAGAGGGGGGUUGGGAACUUCACUUCAUGAAACAAUGGCUUAUCUAUCCAAACCAGGGAGUCAGGGAAGGAGUUCUCAAGAGCUCAUGCACACGGCUGCCAGGUGGGCUGCAUGGGUCUCCUCCGCACAGUCCUUCCUCUUACCAUGGAGUAAUCAGCUUCUCAGAGACCCCGGGACAGUAUUCCAAGACUAUGAGAGCAGAACCAUCAGGGCUUUCGAAGGUCGAGGCACUCGUCCUUACCCGCAUCCCGUCUGAUGCAUCCUACUAGUAAACAUUCAGCCCACUCUUCUAAGGGGAAGGGAAAUAACCUCCUGCUGCCACAAAGAGCACAGUCACAUCACAAAGGCACAUGUGGAUUGGAGUGGGAAGACUUUGUAGACGUUGUCUCCAUCUGCCAGCCCUCUGGCUUGACUGUUUUCAUUAGGAAUAGAUGCGUAUGUAUGUAUAUUGUCUCUGAGUGACAGGAUAAAUAAUGGGAUUUUUUUUCACUCUCUGCUAACCAGUGACCAAUGCUUGAGCAAUUGUGUACUGAAAGAAAAGUCAGAUGAUGGUACAUGGCUUUAAUCAUAGCCCUCGGAAGGCUGAGGUCAGGGAAUUUCAAGUUCCAAGCCAAUCUGGGCUGUAAAGUGAGAGAGAUUCUGCUUCCAAAAAAAGAAAGAAUGAAAGAAAGAAAGAAACGUCAGACCCACAGUUCCAUUCAUAAAAUAGUAUGGUCCUCUUUGAUAAGGACUUUUGUUUUUAUUUGUUCUUGUGUAUUUGAGUACAAAGUUGCUAUGUUCGGACACGCCAGAAGAGGGCAUCAUUGGAUCCCAUUACACAUGAUUGUGAGCCACCAUGUGGUUGCUGGGAAUUGAACUCAGGACCUCUGGAAGAGCAGCCAGUGCUUUUAACCACCACAGAACCAUCUCUCCAGCCCAAGGUCUUUGAUAAACUGAUUUUAUAUUCAUAUGCUAUUCCCCCUGAGGUGAUCUGCUCUAUGUGUGUGGAUGGUCUAACAAAACUUCAGGCUUGGGCAAAGAAGACAGACAGAAAACAAAAUCCCUGUUUUUCAAAACAAGUUUAAGAGACAUGGACACAACUCAUUGAUGGGGUAAGUGCCUGAUAUACUUGAGGCCAUGGGCUUCAUCCCUAGAACCACAACAACACCAAAGGGGGCAAGUCACGACAACAAUGGCCACUGAGUCAUGAGAAAUGGCCUAGUCUGUGUGGCAGCAUGUCAGUAAGUGUUCCUAGGACACCAUAGAGAGAGGCAGGAGAAUACAGCUGUUGGAUACAGGGAUGGAGAAGCCACCAAUCUCACUGAAGGGAAAGGUGGCAGGUGCGUGAAAGAUCCCCCAAGGGAAGAGGAGAAUCUGAAAGAGGAUCCUUUUCCUUCAUGGCACUCAGCUUUCCCUUACUGUAACAAACAGCUGCAAUCCCCCAUAAAGAGGAGAGACCCCUGGCCCACAGGUUUGGAGGUUGAAGUCUCCUUCCAAGGAAGAUAUCAUGACAAAGUUUUGUAGAGUUAAAGCCCUCACCUCAGAAUAGAGAUGGAGUGGAAAGGGAAGGGGAGGGAACAAGAGGAGUAUGGAAUCUCAAAUACCCUUUAAACAUGUACCCCAGUGACCUAAAAAACAUUCAGAAGGCCCUACUCUCCGAAAGUCCAGAGUCUCCAAUAGCAUUGUCCUGGGGAGCAAGCCUUUACCACAAAGGGGGGCCCUUAGUAAUAUAGCUACAACAAACCUCACAUCUCCUUCCCACGAAGGCAGUUUAAUUGAUAGGAUUUCUGGAACUUUCUACCUCAUUGCUCCUUCCUCCCCUGGUAGAUAUAGUACAAAUCACUCUUGAUUUGGGACUAACACCUGGGCAACCUUGUCUCAGACCUACAUCUUGUCUCUCUCGGGCAUGAGCACACACCUGCUCAGAUGUACCACCUCCUCCUUGUCUGUUUCUAGGUUUUCUAGGGACUGUGUGGGUAAGGCUGCCUAACAUCUGGGGGUUGGUAGUAAAAGGCUCGGUAGGAAGACCUAUGACCACAUCCUGUGUCUGACUCCUAUUGAUUAAAGAGGUGUUAUUCUACCUUCUGGGUCAGCCUUUAAUUAUUCUCUCUUGUUCAGAAAGCUAAAAAGGGGGGCUGGAGAGAUGGCUCAGUGGUUAAGAGCACCGGCUGCUCUUCCAGGGGACCCAGGGUCCAAUUCCCAGCAUCAACAUGCCAGCGCAAACUCUGUAGCUGCAGUUCCAGGGGAUCUGGCACUUUUACAGACAUACAUACAGGCAAAACACACUGCACAUAAAAUAAAAAAUCCUUUUUAAAAAGGAAAUGCAUGUGGGUUGGGGAUUUAGCUCAGUGGUAGAGCGCUUGCCUAGCAACCACAAGGCCCUGGGUUCGGUCCCCCGCUCCGAAAAACAGAAAGAAAAAAAAAAAAAAAAGGAAAUGCAUGUGCUCUUUAUUGAGAGCCUUCUGGAAGCCUGUAAUAUAAUGAUUAUUUAUAGCCGUGCGAUUGGCCAAUCAGCCCAGUUAGUGACUUCAGCUCUAAGCACCUUACCAAGCUUAUGUAUGAAGUCCAGGGUCUCUUGAGAAAGACUGAUGCCAGGCAGUGGCGGGGCACAUCUUUAAUCUCAGCACUCAGGAGGCAGAGGCAGGUGACUCUCUGAGUUCAAGGCCAGCCUGAUGUACAGAGGAAGUUUCAGGACAGCCAGUGCUACACAAAGAAUCCCUGUAUCAAAACAGGCAAACAAAAAACAAACACAAAAACAAAAAAAAUUAGACAAGAAAGGCUGUCAGAAACACAAUAUACAGAUGGGGUAUUAUGGUCGGGAUCACCCCCAAAGAGUUCUCAAACUGCAAGGAUACUUGAGGCAUUGGGAGCUCAGUGGGACAGGACUACUGACUUUCGGCCUGGCUACUGACAAAGGCCUGAGCGCUGCAUCACGUGGGUCUCUCCACAGGAUAGCCUCAGUGUCCACAGGAAGUGACAUCAGUCUUCCCUUGAGCCACGAAGCAAAUGGCAAAGGGGAGGAGGAAGCCAGAGCACCUUUUAUCUAGUUUCUAAACUUGAAUAUGGACACUUCUGUUUUAGUUUUUAGGUCCGGCGUUAAACUUAGCCCAGGAGGGAAAGUGGAAAGGCCUUCUUUUGUCGGGAGCAAAGAAUCACAGAGCCCUCAACAAAGGAAAGACACACAAAGACAAAUAUUAGAGUGCUUGCUUAGCACAGUAAAGCCCUGUGUUUAAUCCCUAUUGUUACAAAUGAAAUGGAAAGAGAAGAGAGGUGGAGGGAAGGGAGGAGAGAGGGGAGUGGAAGGAAGGAGAAGAGAGGGGAGCGAGGAAAUGAUGGGAGAGGAUGGGGGGAGAUACUGCAACAUCCCUUUGCCUCAGAGUGAGUGUAAAAGGACAGGCAUCCUUAGGAGGUUCUCUGUUGAGAUUUGGUCUUGCUGUCUAUUGUAAUGCUAAGUGUGGGUCCCCAAGACCUGGAAUCAGCACAUGGACCCAAGUGACACUAGAUGACCCAAGUUAUUUCUGAUUGAUAAAUAAAGAUGGGGACAGCCAAAAUAGCUGGGAAGAAGGAACAUAGGUGGGGUUUAGGGUUUUCAAAGUUGGGGUCAGAGGAGAACCAUGAGGAGAAAGUGGAGGAGGAAGGAGAAGCCACCAUAGGUUAGGAGUCAAGAAAACAUGGCCCUGAGAGCUGGCUAAUUGGCAGCCCAGAGGAAACAUCAUAAGUAAUAACUCGGGGGGUUGGGGAUUUAGCUCAGUGGUAGAGCGCUUGCCUAGGAAGCGCAAGGCCCUGGGUUCGGUCCCCAGCUCCGAAAAAAAGAACCAAAAAAAAAAAAAAAAACAAAAAAACAAAAAAACAAAAACCCUCGGGGUUAUUGAUAGGAAAGUAGAUUCUAUUAGCGUAGAGGGUAGACGGCUGCCCUGCCGUAGUGCUGACUAAGGCUUAUUGUAAAUAUAAAGGUCAUGAGUGUCUUCAUAUCCGGGAAUUAAAUGAUCAAGGCAGGGUAGAAUUUUCAGGACUAAAAAUUCCUACAACAGUUCUCACUUUGAAGAUGUCCCCUCCUCUCGCCAUGGACUCAAUGGAAGUUUUUACUCAAUGCCCUUGACAGCCCCUCUAGACUGUCCUCUGAACCCCACAACUCCAGUAUUUUGUUCCCAAGAGACCUAAUUCUGCUUCUUCCACCUGGGCAGGCCUUGCCUUAAGAUUUAUCUUUCCGGGGUUGGGGAUUUAGCUCAGUGGUAGAGCACUUGCCUAGCAAGCGCAAGGCACUGGGUUCGGUCCCCAGCUCUGAAAAAAAAAAAAAAAAAGAAGUUAGAAAAAAAAAAAUAUUUAUCUUUCCACUAGUCUGUCCCAUGGACCCAAGAGGCCCUCUGUAUCAGUGGGAGUGUCUGUUGUGUUUUAUAAGUAAGAAGAGGAAGCCAGGGAUAUGUUUGGUAGAGUGGGGUGUGGUGCCGGAGAAGUGGGUGCCUCUGCAGCUCGGGCUGAGUCAUUCCUUCCCCCUGAGGCACCAGCCACAGGAUGGAUCGUAUGGAAAUAGAGUUUAUUUAUGGGGAGGGGACUAGGGGAGGGAGUAGAGACAGAGUGAGUGAGUAGAGAAGAGAGGAGUAGAGGCUGGCCAUGAACACAUGGAGAGAGAGGGGAGGGGGAGAGAAGGGGCAGAGAGGGAAGAAGGUAAGAGAGCAAGAACGGAAGAGAUUAAGUGAGUGAGGAGGGGGCAAGCAGCCCCUUUUUAUAAUGAGUCAAGUUUACCUGGCUAUUGCCAGGUAACUAUGGGGCAGAGCCUAGAAGAAAUGCUAACAGAGUCUUCAUAUGGCACCUAGGGAUACAAUGAAAAGGGUUUGCUAAGAGCCUACAGUCCACCAAGGACCAGGUUUCCACAGCACAUCAGGGGACCUUCCUCCUCUUCCUACCCCUGUGGAUAAUCCAGCAAAGCCACCUCUGCUUGUAAUGAUUUCAGCCAUUUGUGGGAUACAACAUUUCUGUCUCUGUGCUCGAUAGGUACCGUCUCACUGAAGACCUUCACUAGCUGUAAAAGCCAGAAGCUGCUUCCCCCUGAGUGUUGUCCCUGCAUGUCUGCCUGCAGGCCAGAAGAGGACACCAGAUCCCAUUACAGAUGGUUGUGAGCCACCAUGUGGUUGCUGGGAAUUGAACUCAGGACCUCUGGAAGAGCAGUCAGUGCUCUUAACCUCUGAGCCAUCUCUCCAGCCCUCACACACAGCUCUUAACACUCCUCAUCCAGCAAACCUGACUGGGAUCUGGACUCAGAGCAAGGUGGAGACUCAGGUGUGACCCAGCUUCACGGAGCCAGACUCACAUCACUGUGUUCUACUGUAGGCCUGGCAGCCAAGGCACCAGUGCUGAAAGUCCAUUCUUCUGAAGGUUCGACACAAAUAGAAUGAAGUCACCCAGCACA